UAGUCAGAACAAUGCUUAUGGUAC
Molecule: non-coding RNA, 24 nt
Filed under: Arabidopsis thaliana (thale cress)
Lineage: Eukaryota; Viridiplantae; Streptophyta; Magnoliopsida; Brassicales; Brassicaceae
Source: RNAcentral